RNAcentral lists this long non-coding RNA (1760 nucleotides) under Homo sapiens (human). RNAcentral describes it as "HSALNT0178587". Lineage: Eukaryota; Metazoa; Chordata; Mammalia; Primates; Hominidae. The record is from RNAcentral.
UUAGAGGUGGGGCAUCCUCAGACUGUGGCUGGGAUGAGCACCUAGAGAAGUGAUUGAUUGAUUGAUUGAUAGUGGAGAAUCCCCUUGUGGGGAGGGUUUGUGAUCUGCCCUCGAGGUCCCAUACUUCAGCAGAGCCAGGUCCUGCUUCUUUUCAUACACUACAGUGUCUGGGUCAUCAGCAUCUGUGUGUCUGUCUACCCCACAAGGAGUGCUAUUCCUGAUCUCCUUAGCUGUUUGUUAGUGUAGGACUGGCUGGUGUGUGUAAAUGGAGGCCUCAAACCAGAGAGCCCUGCUUUCUGGGAUGGUAACGUGGCUGUUGGAGGACACAGCUCCACAGGUAGCCCAGGAGAAAUCUGAGCCGGAAGGAAGGUGCUGUGGUAGUCUGCCUUAUACCACCAUCAUAAAGAAGAGGAGGCUCAGGUCCAGAAAGGAUGUGUAAGUAAGUGGGAAGAGCUCAACUCACUGCUUCUAACUUUGCGCUGCCAGACAGAAGGGGCUCCAGAUACUUGUUCUAAGCUCUGGUUUCCCCUCAAGGCCAAAAGCUCUUGAAUGUGCAUGGAUUGUGCCCACCCUCUUACUGGGGAAUCAGCAAACCACAAGCUAUCAGGAAGUAGCCCACUGCACCAUAGAGCAGUUAACGUGGGGUGGGGAUGAGAUCUUUUUCCCUGACCCAUGCCCCUCUCAUUCUGUGGCCCAGAGAAUGAGAUCACUCAGAUGGCAUCACUAUUGCCCCCAUCCCCCAGCCUUCAUCACCCUGGUUGAUCACGAGGGGUCCAAAGAAUAGACCACUACCUCUGGCUUCCUGAGAGGUUGCCUUUACUUAUAUGCACAGUCACUCCUUUAGCAGAAAAUAUUAUGGAGGUGUUAGGAUGAGAUAAACCUGACAGCAACCAGUUCCAAGACCACACACAGCAGUUUUCCCCUUGCCUAGCCCCUUGAGAUGCAUUCUUGAUAGCGAGAGCACAAUGGUUCCCCUGAGAGCCUCCGUGGCCCUUCUGUGUGCCUUUAUCAACCACUCCCCACCAUCACCACCCUUAGGCAGAGAGAGGAAGAAGCAGGGGAGAUGUGGCUAAUUCUUCUUUGGAAACACAGAAGGCUAUGUCAGAUGCAAUGGAAUAUAUUGUGACAUAGGAUUAUUUGGAGUAUUCAGCCAUGGGGAUCUCUUAGAGGUCUCUUAUUUAAGGAUAGGGGACCUCUAUGGAGGGCAUGGUUGGCUUAUCCACCUUCAGGGUGGGCAAUGUAGUUUGAAAGGUAGCCUCACUUGUAGCCUGCCUGGUGGGUGCUUGGGUGAGUUCAAAGACCACGGUGGGCAUCGGUGGUUGAAUCUCAUGCUUGCCAGGCUUCAAAGGUGUGACAGCAUUCUUGAUAGGUAGUAGUUUCUUGGAUGGUGCUGCAAAAUUGAAAUGGCCUUGGUGUUCCUUUCCACUCUUGGGUAGAGCCGGGUAGAGGGCUGCUAGAGUCCAAGGACCUUCCACAACUCGGACAGGAGGUUUCAUGGCUAUGUGCAAAUCUAUCUAUCUAUCUAUCUUCCUCAUUCUUACUUCCACUCUGAGUAUCUGUGGGAUGGAAAAGACACAGAUUCCUCAAAUGUCACUUCUCCACUCUCUGUCAGUCAUGUGUGAAAUUCAAGUUAUCUCUUAAAUGUUAGCCACUCCCUUACCCUUUCAGGUUCUUUCCUCCAAGCUCUCCCCUCUACCUCAGGCUUUGUGCAAACUUUAUUAUGGCCCUCCAAUUCAGCCUGGGGCUGGGGCUUAAGAGUC